Molecule: long non-coding RNA, 1776 nt
Organism: Pan troglodytes (chimpanzee)
Lineage: Eukaryota; Metazoa; Chordata; Mammalia; Primates; Hominidae
Exons: 6
Source: RefSeq, a predicted model, not a curated record
CGCAUUUGAAAUGGUGCUGGGAAAGCGGUGAAUUGGAAGUAACGGAUCCCGCUGCCUCUCUGAGGAAGAGAAAAAUCCCAUGACCGGAUUUGAGGAAACAAACGGAAGUCUAAGUGCACCCACUUCCGGAGUGGGCACCGCUCCUCAGUAAAUUCUACAGCUGGAAGGAAGUUUCUAGAGGCACCUUAGCACUGACUUCAGUACCCAUCACUCCACAACUCAAGGAUGGAAACCUUGAACGUCUGAAUUUGCUGACCUGCUUGUGAUGAGACAUCCGUUGUGGACUCUUCUUUUUUGCCCUUUGCUGGAUGGUAGGUGGAGGGCAGUUAUCAGAGCUGCAGAGAAGGAAAUAACCUGUCUGGCAUCAGACACUGAUCCUGUUACCAUCUAAUCCACACAGGGACUUGGAUAACAAAUACUUGGAUAAUGAAAACAUCCAAUAAUUAAUGUGCCACCUACUCACCAGGAUCAUGGCCCAACAGGGAAAUGUGGAACAAAGCUCUCCUCAAGGGGAAAGAAAACGGGAUACACGGCUUGGAAAACCUUCACUAACACUCCCAUGUGAAGAGUGAUAGAAUGCUAAUUUCCCACAGAUUCAUUAUCACCAUGAAAUGAAAUUUUGGAACACAUCACAGAAUGUGCUUGCCUGUGAUUUCAAGAAAUCUACUUCUCAGCAGUUGAGGUUGGACUCAGAUUUUUUUAUGUACUAGAAACCAAUUCUCCUGUAAUGAAAUUCAUUUGUCUCUGAAAUCAACUUUGCCAUGUACUAUACCAUAUUGUAAGUAUGAGUGGAUGGCACUACUAUGACAGAGUAGGGGGCAGCAUGGUUUUGGACAUUUGGGGUCUUGUAUCUCUCAAUUUAUAGCCUAUAUUCAUAAGACAGCAGAAUAACAACAACCAACACUUACCAAGUGCCCGAAAUAUCUUAACUCAUUUAAGUUAUUCAACAAAGAUAGGAGAACUAAUGGGGUAAGAGACAUGGGCACUUUAAUAGACAGCCAUUACUGCAAUAAUGCUGUGUAACGAACUACCCCCAAAAUCAAUGUCUUACAAUAACAAGCAUUUAAUUUUGUUUUGCUCAUAAAUCUACAUUUGGCUAAGGUUCUGUUGUGCUUGGCUAGUACCAGCUGAACUUGAAUCAACCCUACAUGUUGGAUCCAAAUUUAUUCCACAUUUCUCUCAUUCCCAUUUGAACUAACAGCUAUCUGCAGCAUGCUCAUCUCAUGUGAACAGCAGGAAUGUAAGAGGCAAAUCAAACUGUGCAAGUACAUUUAAGGCCUCCAUUAACAUUUCAUUGGCCAAAGCAAGCAUGUCAGAAAACAAGUUUUAUAUCAACAAGGCAGAAAAAAUGUGUUUCACUUAUACUGAGAGAGAAUCAUAAAAUUGCUUGUAUUCUAGCCUAGGAGAGAGAAGAAUUGGAACCAAUGAAUAUGAUCUAUCAUAGAUACCUUUGGAGAAUGGAUAAGGGACAAAUUUCAGUUUUCAUGUGGAGACCAAAGCCAUUUUUUUUUUUUUUUUUUUGUUAACACUGUGUCUGAAGUCUUAGGGGGCUAAAAGUCCCAUAAAAGGCCUUUUAAAUUUGAGAGAUAUUUACAUUAAGAGAUUCAGUUAGGACCUAAAGAAGAGUCAAACAUUUGAUGAAACACAUCUGCUUAUCACUGGUUAUAAUCUACUGGGGAAGAAAAUAAGGCAUUUAUACAAACAAUUCCAUAGCAAGAUGUAAGAUAAAAAGUGUCCUUCAAAGACCAAUUGUAAGUAAAAGGGUAGAGAAAACUA